This 465-nucleotide ribosomal RNA is filed under the name Vreelandella stevensii. RNAcentral's name for it is "partial 16S ribosomal RNA". It matches the Rfam family "Bacterial small subunit ribosomal RNA", at positions 338 to 795 of the family's 1533-position model. The record is from RNAcentral. Lineage: Bacteria; Pseudomonadati; Pseudomonadota; Gammaproteobacteria; Oceanospirillales; Halomonadaceae.
CCUACGUGUGGCUGCAGUGGGGAAUAUUGGACAAUGGGGUCAACCCUGAUCCAGCCAUGCCGCGUGUGUGAAGAAGGCCCGCGGGUUGUAAAGCACUUUCAGUGAUGAAGAACGCCUGGUGGUUAAUACCCAUCAGGAAAGACAUCACUCACAGAAGAAGCACCGGCUAACUCCGUGCCAGCAGCCGCGGUAAUACGGAGGGUGCGAGCGUUAAUCGGAAUUACUGGGCGUAAAGCGCGCGUAGGUGGCUUGAUAAGCCGGUUGUGAAAGCCCCGGGCUCAACCUGGGAACGGCCUCCGGAACUGUCAAGCUAGAGUGCAGGAGAGGAAGGUAGAAUUCCCGGUGUAGCGGUGAAAUGCGUAGAGAUCGGGAGGAAUACCAGUGGCGAAGGCGGCCUUCUGGACUGACACUGACACUGAGGUGCGAAAGCGUGGGUAGCAAACAGGAUUAGAUACCCUUGUAGUC